AGAAAAAUAAGCUAAAUUUAAGCUUUUGGAUUCAUACUUCAAAUAUAGAAUUAAAAUCUUUUUUCUA
RNAcentral lists this transfer RNA (67 nucleotides) under Schlechtendalia chinensis (horned gall aphid). RNAcentral describes it as "tRNA-Met". The record is from RNAcentral. Lineage: Eukaryota; Metazoa; Arthropoda; Insecta; Hemiptera; Aphididae.